AGAGUUUGAUCCUGGCUCAGGACGAACGCUGGCGGCGUGCUUAACACAUGCAAGUCGAGCGGCAAGGCUCCUUCGGGAGUACACGAGCGGCGAACGGGUGAGUAACACGUGAGUAAUCUGCCCUCCACUUCGGGAUAAGCGCCGGAAACGGCGUCUAAUACCGAAUACGACGCACUCUCGCAUGAGAUACGCGUGGAAAGUUUUAUCGGUGGAGGAUGUGCUCGCGGCCUAUCAGCUUGUUGGUGAGGUAACGGCUCACCAAGGCUUCGACGGGUAGCCGGCCUGAGAGGGUGACCGGCCACACUGGGACUGAGACACGGCCCAGACUCCUACGGGAGGCAGCAGUGGGGAAUAUUGGACAAUGGGCGAAAGCCUGGUCCAGCAACCCGCGUGAGGGAUGACGGCCUUCGGGUUGUAAACCUCUUUCAGUACCGACGAAGCGCCAAUAACGGUGGUGACGGUAGGUACAGAAGAAGGACCGGCCAACUACGUGCCAGCAGCCGCGGUAAUACGUAGGGUCCGAGCGUUGUCCGGAAUUAUUGGGCGUAAAGGGCUCGUAGGCGGUCUGUUGCGUCGGGAGUGAAAACUUACAGCUUAACUGUGAGCGUGCUUCCGAUACGGGCAGACUUGAGGUAUUCAGGGGAGAACGGAAUUCCUGGUGUAGCGGUGAAAUGCGCAGAUAUCAGGAGGAACACCGGUGGCGAAGGCGGUUCUCUGGGAAUAUCCUGACGCUGAGGAGCGAAAGUGUGGGGAGCGAACAGGAUUAGAUACCCUGGUAGUCCACACCGUAAACGUUGGGCGCUAGGUGUGGGGUCCAUUCCACGGAUUCCGUGCCGCAGCUAACGCAUUAAGCAUCCCGCCUGGGGAGUACGGUCGCAAGAUUAAAACUCAAAGGAAUUGACGGGGGCCCGCACAAGCUUGGAGCAUGUGGUUCAAUUCGAAGCAACGCGCAGAACCUUACCAGCCUUUGACAUCCCGGUCGCGAGCACCAGAGCUGGAGCUUUUCAGUUCGGCUGGACCGGAGACAGGUGCUGCAUGGCUGUCGUCAGCUCGUGUCGUGAGAUUUGGGUUAAGUCCCGCAACGAGCGCAACCCUCGCCCUUAGUUGCCAUCAUUUAGUUGGGCACUCUAAGGGGACUGCCGGUGAUAAGCCGGAGGAAGGUGGGGAUGACGUCAAGUCCUCAUGGCCCUUACAGGCUGGGCUACACACGUGCUACAAUGGCGGUGACAGAGGGACGCAAAGGAGUAAUCCUUCGCAAAUCUCAAAAAGCCGUCUCAGUUCGGAUUGUGCUCUGCAACUCGAGCACAUGAAGUUGGAAUCGCUAGUAAUCGCAGAUCAGCACGCUGCGGUGAAUACGUUCCCGGGCCUUGUACACACCGCCCGUCACACCAUGGGAGUUGGCUUUACCUGAAGGCGGUGCGCUAACCCGCAAGGGAGGCAGCCGACCACGGUAGGGUCAGCGACUGGGGUGAAGUCGUAACAAGGUA
RNAcentral lists this ribosomal RNA (1487 nucleotides) under metagenome. Its description in RNAcentral is "bacterial SSU rRNA". It matches the Rfam family "Bacterial small subunit ribosomal RNA". The record is from RNAcentral.